Molecule: long non-coding RNA, 235 nt
Filed under: Vitis vinifera (wine grape)
Lineage: Eukaryota; Viridiplantae; Streptophyta; Magnoliopsida; Vitales; Vitaceae
Description: long non-coding RNA (VVIN_LNC005051)
Source: RNAcentral
AUGUUCCAAAUUGGUUUUUUUUUUGUUAGUUUGGAUAAUUUUAUUCAAUCCCUGAGUUUCAGAUUAUUUUGCUCUGAAUUUAAUCCACACAAUUGCCUUAGUUGUUAAUGUUCUUAAUUGGUCUCAUGUCUUUAACAUCUCAUGUUCUUAUUUUUAAAUUCAAGUGAUGUCUUUAGGUUGAUUUUUUUUUCUUAGUUUGAUUCAUUCUAAAAAAAAUCAUUAAUUUAUAGUUUUU